RNAcentral lists this ribosomal RNA (253 nucleotides) under uncultured bacterium. Its description in RNAcentral is "partial 16S ribosomal RNA". It matches the Rfam family "Bacterial small subunit ribosomal RNA", at positions 524 to 776 of the family's 1533-position model. The record is from RNAcentral.
UACAGAGGGGGCAAGCGUUGUUCGGAAUUACUGGGCGUAAAGGGCGCGUAGGCGGCCUGUUAAGUCGAACGUGAAAUCCCCGGGCUCAACCCGGGAACUGCGUCCGAUACUGGCAGGCUUGAAUCCGGGAGAGGGAUGCGGAAUUCCAGGUGUAGCGGUGAAAUGCGUAGAUAUCUGGAGGAACACCGGUGGCGAAGGCGGCAUCCUGGACCAACACUGACACUGAUGAGCGAAAGCCAGGGGAGCAAACGGG